UGCUGGAUAGCUCAAUAAAGUAGAGCAUUAAAUUCUUAAUUUCAAGGUUGUGGGGGUUCAAGCCCCACAUCAGGCAA
Molecule: non-coding RNA, 77 nt
Organism: Podarcis lilfordi (Lilford's wall lizard)
Lineage: Eukaryota; Metazoa; Chordata; Lepidosauria; Squamata; Lacertidae
Source: the annotation of a GenBank genome assembly